UACGUAGGGUGCAAGCGUUGUCCGGAAUUAUUGGGCGUAAAGAGCUCGUAGGCGGCUCGUCGCGUCGGCUGUGAAAACCUGGGGCUCAACCCCGGGCCUGCAGCCGAUACGGGCGAGCUAGAGUGUGGUAGGGGAGAUCGGAAUUCCUGGUGUAGCGGUGAAAUGCGCAGAUAUCAGGAGGAACACCGGUGGCGAAGGCGGAUCUCUGGGCCAUUACUGACGCUGAGGAGCGAAAGCGUGGGGAGCGAACAGG
Molecule: ribosomal RNA, 253 nt
Filed under: uncultured bacterium
Lineage: Bacteria
Description: partial 16S ribosomal RNA
Rfam family: Bacterial small subunit ribosomal RNA
Source: RNAcentral